Long non-coding RNA from Trifolium pratense (red clover), 4916 nucleotides. RefSeq lists it as uncharacterized. The transcript has 4 exons. NCBI's taxonomy places the organism in Eukaryota, Viridiplantae, Streptophyta, Magnoliopsida, Fabales, Fabaceae. The record is from RefSeq and is a predicted model, not a curated record.
CCGAAGUCCGAAUAUCGAUUCUUGAUUCAACGGAUAAUAACGGAUUUUUUCAGAUAGUUAAAUCAAAUUUCAUCCAUGAGUUGUUCUUUAUUAUUCCUUAUUUUUUUGACUUUGAUGCAACAUAAACGAAUUGAACUGUGAACGUGUUUUUCUGCAGCGUGGGUUGUCAAAAUAAUAACUUUCUUCAUAGCAUGCAGCCUCGAGAUUUGAUUUGCGAUCUUUAGUAAAAAAAAUUAAUUCGUAUCAAUCUUUUUUUUUGUUGAUUCUUAUAGCAUAUAUUUCUUGGUUGUUUUUAUUUACUCUUUGGUGUUUCAGUAGAGGAUGUGGUUUUGAUUUCAUGAUAUCUUGAUCAGUUUUACUAUUAAUUUGUUGGCAGAAUGCUGGAGUUCUCAUGUGAUUUUUCUGUUUUAGGGUGUUUCCAAUUUAGUAUCGGAUAAUGGUAAUGCUUUGCGUUACUUGAUACAUGGUUAUAACUAAAUGUUUGAUUGUGAAUUGAAACUGCAUCUGUUUUCUGUCGUGUCGUCUGUUUGAAGCAAUAACUUGCUUUGUAGCAUCAAACAAUCAAGUUCGUUUUGGCACACUCUUCUUGAUUGGGAAUCAUUUUCAUAUAAUUUAUUCUCUGGAGUUUUAUUGUCCCUGUGUUAUCAAAUUAUUACUCCUUUACACAUUAGGUUUUCUUACAUAAGUUUUUGACAAUGUAAAAGCCCUGUUGAUCAGUGACUUGGCCCAUAGCAUUCAUCUCCACCGUAACCUUAGGUGUUGUUUCUUAUGAUCAUCUAUUUUGUUGGGUAUAACUUAAUUUUGUUGGGCGAGGCUUUAGUUAGUGUUGUACUAUUUUGUUAUAUUUAUUGUUAUAUGUGAUUUAUGCUGUUAAAAAGAUAUCCGCUUCAUUUUACUGUAUUAGGAGGAAUCGAAAAUUGGGUCAUAUGGGUACAUGAUGUGAAAAGAAUUUGUUCCAGUGAAUGAUCAUCUUCUGAAGGCUUUAAUCUGGUCAUAUCUUCUACGAAUCUUGACAUUUCAGCUAGUUUACUCAGUAUCUACUUCUUCAGUUCUGUUAUUUGUGUUGGUUUUACAGGGGAGAGGUUCACAUGCGUUCCUUUCAGCCAAUAAAUGUGCGGAACUGGUGGCAGGCAGAGGUUUACAUACUUUUCAUACAGCCUUGGGAUAAAACAGUGCCGUAAGGACUCGUCUGUACUACAUGUUGGAGAACUAGUAUCUGCUGUCCUUUACUAAAUUGGUAUGCUUCACAAAUUGUGAAAUCACAAAACCGACCUGAUGACAAGAAACCAUCAUUUGGCUAAUCUUAUCAAAUAUCGGGAUCAACCAGACCGACCUGAUCUUUCUGCUCCUCAAAGCUUGCAAUUGUAUCUGAGAUUUGACCAGCUGAUAAUUGCCGCUGAAUUUGAACUCUGGCAGGUUGGCAAUUUUCAUUUUUCUUUACAUAUUCAAGGUGUUUGUUUUACAUUUUCUUUAGAACUAGAGCAUGAAAAGGAGCAAAAUUUGAUGAUGGCUAAUCUCAUAUGCUCUAAUCUUGAAAAUAAGACUAAUAGCAGAACAACAAUAUUUUACUUUCCCUCGUUUGCAUUCCCGGUAGUAUAUAGAUAUUUGUUUUCCAAAUCUUACUAUCUGCUUUUGUUUAUGUUUUGUCUCUACUCAGCUCUCAAGGUCUUCACUUGCUGAACUGGUAGGAUAUUCUCAUUAUUUGAAGCACAAAGCACAAUGCUUUGAUCUGGCUUUCUGUAUUGUAACGAUUCAGUUCUCUGUAGUGUCAACUAUCAAGCCUUAUUUUUGGUUCAUUGUUUCUCUGUUGAUUCUUACUGUUUAUUCUUUUUGAUUUUCAAAAGAUAAAUAUAUGAAUGUGCGAUUAUGGCAGAGAUUAUAAUUGGUUUUUGAAGUUUAUAUGAUUUUUAAGAAUCUGUGUGUGUAUUUUAGUUUUGUGCAGUGACCCAAGGACUCCUUCAUAUUACGAGGAUUGCCUCAAUUAUGCAAUUUCAUGUUGAGUACAAGAUCUUCCAAACCGGGUGGAAAAUCAUUGCGAUGAACAUAGGCUGUGUCGAAUACUUGCCACUAUUGCAAGGCUUAAAUUUGGUCAUUUCUACUGACACAACUGUGCCAUCAUUAUAGUCUUUGUUUGAUACUCAGCAUCUAUUGUUUGCAGUUCCGUGAGUUUUAUGUGUGGGUGUUGAAUGUGCAGUGUGCUGUAGAGCCUGUGGCAGGAUGAGGUUAACAUACUUUCCAUUCAAUUCAGCCUUGGGAUCCGUUACUGUUACAUAUAUGUGUUUUGUCUUGCUAGUCUUGGCGAUUAAUGUUUUGCCCGGAGAAGCAAUUUAAAGGCAAUCUGGCCCUCAAGAUUGACAUUUGGAAGGCUUUGAUACUCUUGAAUGGAGCUUUCUUCUUAUGGCUUUGGGUCAGAUUGACAUUCAGAAGGAUUUUUGAUACUCUUGAAUGAAGUGUUUAAUUUAAUUCAAAUGCUGAAUAAAUUAUAGAAUUUAGUCUAAAUGUUGGAAUUAUAUCGAAUAGAAUGUUAUGAAAUUAUAUAAAUAGUUUUUUUAGCAUUUUAUAUAUAAUUUCUUAUGACUUGAUGACCCAUCUAAACUAUCUUACUCAUAAUUGUUUGGGUUGGUUUGAGUUUGACAGAAAAAUUAUGGAUUUCUUGCUUAUUUGAACCGGUGGAAUUUGAUUAGGUAGCACAUUGGGCCAAAACCGACACACGUACACCCCCCAAGUGUAAAACUACUUGCUGCUGCUGUAAGUCCUAUGCUUUCCGUUCAGCCAAUAAAUGUGCGGAACCGGUGGCAGGCAGAGGUUUACAUACUUUUCAUACAGCCUUGGGAUAAAACAGGUAAUUUUUGGCUUACAUGUGUAUUUGUUUUGGGAGAGUGUUGUAGUUUAUGUGUAUCUGUAGCAUGAACGCGAGUAUGAAGCAUUUAAGAUUCUAGACUACAUCACUUUUCCCUCCCCAAGCUUUAAGUUUUGAUUUCCUUAUCUCUGUUAAAAUCUAAGUCUUCAAUAAUUUUUUUCCGCUUGAUAUCAGGGUUUUCCGUACUUGUUUCUUUUUCGCUUGGUAGGGAUUUCUGUAUUGAUAAGCUUUUCUCAGAAUCUCAAGAAUUUCACACAAUCACAUUUGUUUUCAAAACACUGUUUUGCAUUUAAUUUUUAUGGCAGCAUGUUGUAGUCAUUUUAAUCGAGUAAUAUGUAAUUGUGAAUUGAAACGUGUAGCUGUUGAUUACAGUUUAGUGUGUAGAUAGUGGUAAUGUUUUGGGAAACUUGAUACAUGGUUAUAACCUCAGUGUUGAAUUGUGAAUUGAAACUGCAUCUGUUUGCCGCUGUGUCGUCUGUUUUAAAGCAAUUACUUACUUUGUGGUAUCAAGCAAUCAGGUUUGUUUUGGCACACUUUUCUUGUUUGGAAUCAUUUUCAUAUCAUAAUUAUUCUCUAGAGUUUUAUUGUCCCUUUGUUAUCAAUUUACUCCUUUACACCUUUGGUUUUCUUACAUUUAAUUUUUUGACAAUGUAAUCUGACAGCCAAAUUUUCCACGAUUCUCGAGAAACCGGGACAACUUCAUAAAUGUCUUGCUGAUCGGUGACUUGGUUUAGCGAGUUAAGCUAGUCUUCUUUCCUUUUUUUUUUUUUUUGACAACUUUUUGUUUUAUUAUUUUUUCUCUACAUAUCAUAUGGUGUUCACUGGUAAAGUGUUACAUCUAGGCUUAAUCUGGCGAUCUGAAUUAAAUUUGAGAUAUAAACAAAUUUUUAGGGAUUUAAGUAUUCACUCAUGAAGAUAAAUUGAAUCCAAUCACAUGAAGCUAGAGACCAAAUACUCAUUUUUGUUGCUGCAAGUGAAGCUAGCAUAGAUAGAUAACCUUGUCAAACAACUAAAUGUGCAGCCAAAAUCGUUUCUUAGUGUUGGUCAACUUUGACUACAUGUAUAUAUCAGAUCUGUAUUUCGAUGCCUAUCUAUUGAAAUAGUUUAGUCCCAUAGGCAGUUGAUUUCACAUUAGAGGAAUUAAAGUCGUCGAGGGUGUAUCAAAGGUAUUGCUUCAUAGGUGAAUAGUGUAAUUGUUGGUCCCUCCCUACACUUAGAAACUUCUUGUGCUUCUCAUUUAUUGUAUGUAACUAUUCUUAUCUUUCAUUUGUUUGAAUUGUUCAUGCAUUGACUUUGAAUUAUUCUGCUGCCACCUACUACCUUGAAACAAAUUAUUCUUAAGUAGUGUUGGGGUUCUGGUGUUUGCUUGCUGAUUAUUUCUAUAAUUCAUGCUUCGAGUUCAUAUUUGCUAGAUGAGAUCUAACCUGUUCAAAUGCAGGAACAACCGUAGAAUGCAUAUUGGCUGAAUGAAGUUAAACUCAAAUGCAGGAGUUCUCAUGUGAUUUUUCUAUUUUAUGGUGUUUCCAAUUUAGUAUCGGAUAAUGCAUCAAACAAACAAGUUCGUUUUGGCACAUUCUUCUUGAUUAUUACUCCUUUACACAUUAGGUUCUUACAUUUAAUCUGGUAAUAUCUUCUACGAAUCUUUACAUUUCAGCUAGUUUACUCAGUAUCUACUUCUGCAGUUCUUUUAAGUUAUUUGUGUGGGUACAGGUUCACAUGCUUUCGGUUCAGCCAUUCCCAAAACAAAUACUUGUUGUGUAGCAUCAAACAAACAAGUUCGUUUUGGCACAUUCUUCUUGAUUAUUACUCCUUUACACAUUAGGUUCUUACAUUUAAUCUGGUAAUAUCUUCUACGAAUCUUUACAUUUCAGCUAGUUUACUCAGUAUCUACUUCUGCAGUUAUUUGUGUGGGUACAGGUUCACAUGCUUUCGGUUCAGCCAAUAAAUGUGCGGAACCGGUGGCAGGCAGAGGUUUACAUACUUUUCAUACAGCCUUGGGAUAAAAUAGGUAAUUUUUGGCUUACAUGUGUAUUUGUUUUGGGAGAGUGUUGUAGUU